This is a long non-coding RNA of Helicoverpa armigera (cotton bollworm), 618 nucleotides long. RefSeq lists it as uncharacterized. The transcript is spliced from 2 exons. The record is from RefSeq and is a predicted model, not a curated record. NCBI's taxonomy places the organism in Eukaryota, Metazoa, Arthropoda, Insecta, Lepidoptera, Noctuidae.
UAUCUUGACAAUGAAUUCACUAGCAACAUGAAUUACAUAAAAUAAACAAAACAAUUGACCAAUACAAAACCAAACCGAAAUGUAAUAUGAUGGAUAAAUAAUUAAUACAAACCUUAACGUAACAAUUAUUCAAAUGGGAUGGUUCAAAGAAGACGAUAUUUGUGAAGGUCGGCCACCAAAGAGGGUUAUAUUAUGUUCAGAGAUUUGCGGCCUCUGCUUCGGCUACCUCUUUCUAUGCUUGGCUAGAGCAAUACCUUUAUUAAUUUAUCUCGUUACUGGCAUAAUCUUUAUUAUCUUCCAAAUCAUGUGCUGUUUAUUCUGCUGCUGCCCUAUAUAGACUAAAGAAAACACCAUGUGUAUUUAUAGCCUAUUUUUUGACAUGAAUACGCUGUAUGACAUUCGGUUACUGUUCAGGUUGUUUAAAUUUGGACUCUAUUAGCUAGUGCUUGAAGUUUAUUUUUAGUUGACUGUUUUCUUAGUUUGGCUGGGAAAAUGAUCAACCAUAGUUGCUUGAUAUGUACUUGUAACAUCAAGUGGUAAUUUCGUUUAUUCCCCAUUCACUGCAAAAAAUCAUUGUUCCCUUAUAUUGCAAGCUGAUUACACAUUUUAAACCAUAAA